Molecule: ribosomal RNA, 779 nt
Filed under: uncultured Neocallimastigales
Lineage: Eukaryota; Fungi; Neocallimastigomycota; Neocallimastigomycetes; Neocallimastigales
Description: partial large subunit ribosomal RNA
Rfam family: Eukaryotic large subunit ribosomal RNA
Source: RNAcentral
CAUCACUACGCUAGACGCAUAUCAAUAAGCGGAGGAAAAGAAACUAACUAGGAUUCCCUCAGUAACUGACGAGUGGAGCGGGAAGAGCUCAAAUUUGAAAUCUUCAAGGUUCUGACCUUGACGAAUUGUAGUUUAAAGAAGUGUUUUCGGUUAGAGGAGUUAGGUAAAAGUUCUUUGGAAUAGGACAUCAUAGAGGGUGAGAAUCCCGUAUUUGACCAUUAUUUUCCAGCUGUGUGAUACACUUUCAAAGAGUCGGAUUGUUUGGGAAUGCAGUCCAAAAUGGGUGGUAAAUUUCAUCUAAAGCUAAAUAUUGGCGAGAGACCGAUAGCGAACAAGUACCGUGAGGGAAAGAUGAGAAGAACUUUGAAAAGAGAGUUAAACAGUACGUGAAAUUGUCAAAAGGGAAGCGUUUGACACCAGUGUUGUUUUCUCGAAAAUCAAUUAAAAAAGGCUGGAUUUUAUGUUGUAUUGACUUUAUCAGCUUUCUGCACUCUUUUCUUGUCUUUUUUAAUGCACUUUUCGUUUAACAAGUCAACAUCAAUUUCUUUUGUUGUAAAAGGGUCAUUGGAAGGUGGCUUUCUUUUCGGAGAAAGUGUUUAUAGCCUUUGGCCUCUGCAAUCGGAGAGAUUGAGGUCUGCAGCGUAGAUCCUUCGGGGUUAGAUACAUUUGUGCUAAGUUAUAGCCUUUCAUAGACAACUUGUUGACUAUGAUCAGUCAUGUAGCUUACUCGCUUAUGCUAUUUUACCUACGCUUAGGAUGUUGAUCUCUCACAGUCGAGC